CCAUGAGGGAAAGGUGAAAAGGACUUUGAAAAGAGAGUUAAAAGUGCCUGAAAUUGCUGAAAGGGAAGCGAAUGGAACCAGCGAAACUUGGCAAGAUUGCUGUGUGUCAAUGUGAUUGCUUGCUGCUGCAACGUAAGUGUGGUAGUAAGUCUUGAGCAGGACAUGCUCGGUGUUUCUUGCCUUGUGUGUCACCUGUGGUUCGUGAUUGAGGAAAACUUCAGGGACAUGGUAGCCUGUCUCCGGGUGGGUGAACGUGUCUGCUGGAACUCAUUCGUGGACUGCUUGGUGACUAAAUGGUUUCAUCCGACCCGUCUUGAAACACGGACCAAGGAGUCUAACAUAUGUGCAAGUUCACGGGUGUUAAACCUGCUUGCGUAAUGAAAGUGACUGCUGGGAUCUUUGCACCAGCAACCGACCAAUCAAUUGAGAGAGGUUUGAGUAUGAGCAUAUCUGUUCGGACCCGAAAGAUGGUGAACUAUGCCUGUGAAGGGCAAACUCAGGGGAAACUCUGAU
Molecule: ribosomal RNA, 513 nt
Filed under: Scrippsiella sp. CS297
Lineage: Eukaryota; Dinophyceae; Peridiniales; Peridiniaceae
Description: LSU rRNA
Rfam family: Eukaryotic large subunit ribosomal RNA
Source: RNAcentral